GGAUUUGAUGACAUGUUUUUUUGACACCCAGUCUUAGUUGCUCCUUUGGUGCACUCUGGUGAUAGAUAAAACAUUCUGAUCC
Lotus japonicus is the source of this 82-nucleotide small nucleolar RNA. RefSeq annotates it as small nucleolar RNA U31b. The transcript has a single exon. The record is from RefSeq and is a predicted model, not a curated record. NCBI's taxonomy places the organism in Eukaryota, Viridiplantae, Streptophyta, Magnoliopsida, Fabales, Fabaceae.